UGCCUGGCUCCCCGGGACGUGCAGGGCUGCUCAGGGCACUUUCGGACCUGUGGGAGGAAACAGCCUGCAAACCAAACCCGUCCUGCUCCUCAGGUUUCGGUGUGUUCAGCUCCAGGAUGCCCACACGGGGAUGCAGAGAAGUUGAAGCUGUAUUUAUUACUUUCCUGAAGCACAGCUAUCUAAGCAGGCCUGGUGAGGAGUGAUCCCUGGCCGUGGCAUGUCCCAGCAGCCUUGGUGGAGUGUGACAGUGAGGGACGUGUGCUGCCUAACUCACCCCCGGGGAGGUGAGGAGCGACAGGCAUGCUUGCUCACUGCA
Molecule: long non-coding RNA, 316 nt
Organism: Harpia harpyja (harpy eagle)
Lineage: Eukaryota; Metazoa; Chordata; Aves; Accipitriformes; Accipitridae
Exons: 3
Source: RefSeq, a predicted model, not a curated record